UACGAAGGGGGCUAGCGUUGCUCGGAUUUACUGGGCGUAAAGGGCGCGUAGGCGGAUGUUUAAGUCGGGGGUGAAAGCCCGGGGCUCAACCUCGGAAUUGCCUUCGAUACUGGACGUCUUGAGUACGGGAGAGGUGAGUGGAACUCCGAGUGUAGAGGUGAAAUUCGUAGAUAUUCGGAAGAACACCAGUGGCGAAGGCGACUCACUGGCCCGUUACUGACGCUGAGGCGCGAAAGCGUGGGGAGCAAACAGG
This 253-nucleotide ribosomal RNA is filed under the name uncultured bacterium. RNAcentral describes it as "partial 16S ribosomal RNA". It matches the Rfam family "Bacterial small subunit ribosomal RNA", at positions 524 to 776 of the family's 1533-position model. The record is from RNAcentral.